AAUUAGCUCAGCUGGCUAGGGAGUCUCGAACGCAUUCGGGAAGGUCAUCGGUUCGACUCCGAUAUUCUCCACCA
RNAcentral lists this transfer RNA (74 nucleotides) under Owenweeksia hongkongensis DSM 17368. RNAcentral's name for it is "tRNA-Und (NNN) (tRNA-Und-NNN-1-1)". The record is from RNAcentral. Lineage: Bacteria; Pseudomonadati; Bacteroidota; Flavobacteriia; Flavobacteriales; Owenweeksiaceae.